AUACGGAGGGUGCAAGCGUUAAUCGGAAUUACUGGGCGUAAAGCGCGCGUAGGCGGUUUGGUCAGUUGGAUGUGAAAGCCCAGGGCUCAACCUUGGAACUACAUUCAAUACUGCCAGGCUAGAGUACGGUAGAGGGAGGUAGAAUUCCACGUGUAGCGGUGAAAUGCGUAGAGAUGUGGAGGAAUACCAGUGGCGAAGGCGGCCUCCUGGAUCGAUACUGACGCUGAGGUGCGAAAGCGUGGGGAGCAAACAGGAUUAGAUACCCCAGUAGUCC
This 274-nucleotide ribosomal RNA is filed under the name uncultured bacterium. RNAcentral describes it as "partial 16S ribosomal RNA". It matches the Rfam family "Bacterial small subunit ribosomal RNA", at positions 523 to 796 of the family's 1533-position model. The record is from RNAcentral.